Jeotgalibacillus malaysiensis is the source of this 113-nucleotide non-coding RNA. The record is from Rfam. NCBI's taxonomy places the organism in Bacteria, Bacillati, Bacillota, Bacilli, Caryophanales, Caryophanaceae.
UGGACAUGUCUCCUAUUCCAGUAUCAGGGGAGGCACUCGGUCACCAGGUGGGAUUUGGUUCCUUAGACACGUGGGUUGUCAGGCUGGUGGUGUGAGGGUGGGUUGAAUGCCCG